This 462-nucleotide ribosomal RNA is filed under the name uncultured bacterium. RNAcentral's name for it is "bacterial SSU rRNA". It matches the Rfam family "Bacterial small subunit ribosomal RNA", at positions 335 to 784 of the family's 1533-position model. The record is from RNAcentral.
ACUCCUACGGGGAGGCAGCAGUAGGGAAUCUUCCACAAUGGGCGCAAGCCUGAUGGAGCAACACCGCGUGAGUGAAGAAGGGUUUCGGCUCGUAAAAGCUCUGUUGUUAAAGAAGAACACGUAUGAGAGUAACUGUUCAUACGUUGACGGUAUUUAACCAGAAAGUCACGGCUAACUACGUGCCAGCAGCCGCGGUAAUACGUAGGUGGCAAGCGUUAUCCGGGAUUUAUUGGGCGUUAAAGAGAGUGCAGGCGGUUUUCUAAGUCUGAUGUGAAAGCCUUCGGCUUUAAACCGGAGAAGUGCAUCGGAAACUGGAUAACUUGAGUGCAGAAGAGGGUAGUGGAACUCCAUGUGUAGCGGUGGAAUGCGUAGAUAUAUGGAAGACACCAGUGGCGAAGGCGGCUACCUGGUCUGCAGCUGACGCUGAGACUCGAAAGCAUGGGUAGCGAACAGGAUUAGAUA